AUGAUGUACGCCGUGAAGCGGGACGGGCGGACGGAGACGGUGCACUUUGACAAGAUCACGGUGCAGCUUAAGAAGCUCAGCUAUGGGCUCAGCCAGGAGCACUGCGACCCCGUGCUUGUCGCGCAGAAGGUCUGCGUCAGGGUAUACAUGGGCGUCACCACCAGCCAGCUCGACGAGCUCGGCGCCGAGACCGCCGCCGCGCUCACCGCCUCCCAGCAUGACUAUGCCUCCCUCGCGGCGAGGAUUGAUGUGUCCAACCUGCCGCCAAGUGGAAAUAGUCUGUGUGGUGCUCGUAAAUAG
RNAcentral lists this ribosomal RNA (300 nucleotides) under Triticum aestivum (bread wheat). RNAcentral's name for it is "partial small subunit ribosomal RNA". The record is from RNAcentral. Lineage: Eukaryota; Viridiplantae; Streptophyta; Magnoliopsida; Poales; Poaceae.